GACAUUCAUAGAAUACAUCCUGGCACUCACACAAAAACAAUCGGAGGUAGAUGCUAUUACAUUCUUUCAGGGUUAUGUUACGUAGCAAACUGCAAGUUUAUAAAUGUCAUCCCAUUAUGUAUGAGCUGAAAAAAAUGUAUAUUAAAAACACGUCCUUGAAGACACAGGAGAGUGGGAUGUGCCCAUGUGAAGUGACUCAAAAGCCCUUAAAGAACCUGCAGCUCAGAUGGUGAGACACUAACUGUUUAGGCAAAUAAAUAUGAUUUUUGGACAGAGAGAAAAGCUAGAAAGAUAAUGCGCCAGAUUGUAGGUUGGAGGGUCAUCUGAGAGCUCUCUGAGAAGGUGACCUUUAGAUGAGCCCCAGAAAGUGAGAAUAAACUGUCCAGGUGAAGACCAAGUUAGGACCCUACUGGUCAGUGGCAAGAACAAGUGCACAGACCCUGCUGUGCUCCCCUAGGGGGACGGAGCCGGCCAUUCCAGGGCUGGAGAGCGAGGUGGACAGAGUCGGGGAGGGGGAGAGGCCCCUGGGGACAGGGGUGUCGGGCUUGAACCGCAGUGACACAGAGUGAGGAGUGCCUUCUGACUGAAAGAAUUGAGGCAGCCGAGGGCAGCCGUGCCCCUUGCUUGGCCUGGGUUGGCAUGAAGGGCACCUCAGUCAGGCUGAGGCAGGCCACUUCCCACGAGGACUAAAGCAGCUGGCUUCCCAGGGACGCCAAGCGCACAAGCACAGGUGCCCUUUGGGUGGCUUCCUCAGCAUCUUAAGACAGCUUGCAGCGAUGAUUUUGCCUUGGAUUUGCAGAAUAAACAAAGGCUUUGUCGAGCCUCUGGUUUGAGGUAAUAAGUCACUAAAGCUGUGUUUGCACACUCCUCAACCACCGUGCAGCGUGGAUUCCCUCUGCAGCUUCACCCCACUUUUCGUUUGCUGGUUUGCUUCAAACAUGUCAUGUUUUCACAUAACAAAACACGCAUACACACUUCAUCCCAUUUAAUAUUUAAUUCAAACACAAUGCUUACCAUUCAAAUAAAAUGUUUACAUGUAUGAAUUUUUAUAUCCCCUUAGGAGAGUAUUUUGGAAGAUACGUGAAUCCCUGAUAGUACACGGUGGCAUUUCAAAUGGUACACAGAUAAACUUCUUAACAAUUUAAUUGUAAUGUGUUUAUUUUAAUGUGUAGUUUUCAUAUAAAAUGAGGGCCAAAUCAAACCAGCAAUUUGGUAGCUAUUAUUGCUAGAUUUUUACUGUCAGUUAUGAUCUAAAAUUUACUGUUCAGAUGCAUUUAUUUAAGAAGUGAGUUUAUUUAAAGAAAGCAUAAUGGUACAAGAGGUACUCGUAUAACGUGCAACGGCAACACUGAAGAAGGAAGUGCAGAAGGGCUGAGGUUUGCAAGACCCCGUCCCCUGGAAGAAAUCGUGUCAUCUUCUGGCAUUUCUCUUAAGUUUGUCUCCCUCCCAGUUUUUUAUCUGAUGUCACAUUGAGAGCAAAGCCACAGACUCAAGUUGUUUUGCUCAAAAGGUGGUUUAAAUCAUUUUUUAAAAUUUGCCUACUAUUGAAAUUCCUGUCGUGGCUCAGCAGAAAUGAACCUGACUGGUAACCAUGAGGACACAGGUUCCAUCCCUGGCUUCGCUCAGUGGGUUUUGGAUCUGGCAUUGCUGUGAGCUGUGGUGUAGGUCACAAAUUCAACUUGGAUCCCGCAUUGCUGUGGCUCUGGUAUAGGCUGGCAGCUGCAGCUCUGAUUUGACCCCUAGCCUGGGAACCUCCACGUGCCAUGGGUGUGGCCCUAAAAAAAAGUGUCUACUAUGUAAAUCAUCCUUAUUCUCAUUUUUCUCAUUAUUUUUGAAAUAUGAUUAUAUUUUAAGUGCAGAGCUAUCACAUUCAUUGGAUGAUCCAUCCAUUCCCUUAACUUGAAUUUCUGAAAAAGCAAACAUUGCAAUCCCCUUUCCAGGAGGAGUUGAGACACCGUUGAUGUAAACACAAGUUUUCCACGUAGUGUGGAUAAAGCACUUCAUUAUAGCAUAGCUGGUGUUCAGAGAGUGUGCUAAAAAAAAAAGGGUGCCUCUGUUUGUUCACCAGGGGAAGGCCUUUUGACGUCAAUUCUAACUCUACAUAGAGAGGCCUUAGUAGAAUUGGAAUCCAACCUAGUUACCAUUCUGUGUUAUCACAUCCAUUUUGUUGAUAUGUAGACUGAGUCAAAUAAGCAUCCACUGAAAUUUCAGCUGGAAUUCAAAACCAGGACGCACUCACUACCUUAGCUCUAGUUCCCAGAUGGCAUUUCAUCCAUCAGCAUGAAUCUUUUUGUAUUAGUUGUGGGUUCUGAUCUGUCUGACAAAGAAAGUGUGUGGGUUGCUAGUCUGUUUUUCCCUCAAGACAGCCUAACAAACAAGCCAUCACCUGGGGGAUAAACAUUAGCCAUGGGAAAAAGGAAAUUCUAUUCCCUUGUAGGAUGCUGACUGUCACAUGCUGUGUCAUUAGUUGCUUCUGAAAGACUUUUUGAAAACACUUCUCUCCCAGUUGUAAUUUGUAUAUUGCUGUAUUUUUAAAAAAUAAUCAUUUUAAAUUCCUAAGUAAAAAAAUAAAAUGCUGCAUGAGAACAGAGUGGGAAAAGGAUUUGAGAAGCAGGGGUAAAAAUGACAUUCCGGGAGGAUGAAACUGAUGAUAAAGUAUCUUAGUCAUAUCAGUUUCAUUUUGGACAUUCUGCUAGCAAGCAUGCACUGCGUGCCCUUGCAGCAUAGACCAGGGCUUUGGCAAACUUUUUCUGUAAAGAGCUAGGUAGCAUAUAUUUUGGGGCUUUGCUGGUCAUAUGGUCUUUGUAGCAACUAAUUAGCUGGAAAGCAGCUAUAGAUUGUGUAAACAAAUGACUGUGGCUGUUUUUCAAUAAAACUUUAUUUACAAAACAAGCUGUGGGCCAUAGUUGGCCCGCCCCCUAAAAUUCAGUAGAAGAGUUUAACCUGUAGAAUUAUGCAAACCUGGGCCACAUCCUGGCUCUGAUGCUAACAACCUAUGGGAAACUGGUCAUCUUAAUGCACCUCUCAGGUCAUCAGUUUCUACUUUUGUAAAAUGGAAAUAACUGUAGACCCCCCUCCAAUGAGUUAUUGAGAAAAUCCACUGAGUAAUGCUCAAAGGGACCAGCACAGACCUGACGCAGUAGGUUCUCAUCCAAUGUCAGGUGUUAUUGUUUGCUGUGUUGCUGUGGUUCUUGGGUUAAAAAGUGCCCUUUACUCCCCGCCUCCCAUGCAUUAGCCUCAGAGAGGUAAGAGUUACCUUAACACGGAAGUCGCCUCAAGGCUGUCUUCUGUUUAAAGCCUUUCCGUGCUUUCUCAUGCCCUUCAUCAUGCCCCGAUCCAGCCCGUACUCACUCCAACAUGGUGCCCUCGGCUCUCCUCAUUCCCCCUGGGUGAGCUCCAGCCACGCUGAGGCAGCAUCUGGAGCUCUUGUAUACCUCAGGACAUUUACAUGUGCUUUUUCCUCCUUUCGGGAAUGCUGGGCCCCUCACUUUUCUCAAGACUCGUUUCUUCCUUUUGUUAUUUGCUUGUCUGUUACUUCCUCAGUGAAGGCUUCGCUCUUCUCCUGCCAAUAACCACGUCCUUCAAAACUCAGCAAAAGUAGUCAGGGACAGACCAUACCUAUCUUAUUCACAAUCGAAAUCACCGUGCUUCGUACAGUGUUCUGACACAUAUGGACAUGGAAAAAUUACAUAAUAAACACAGAAUUAGUGUGUCAGUGACGAAUUAUUAUUUAUUAUAACCAUCAUCACCGUCAUGAAUGGGACUGAAAGCAUAGGACCUAGUACAGAGCUCAUCAGUCUUCAACCAUCUUCAACCUCCUUCAUGACUUCUAUCAUAUUUAUGGACUGCUUGAAUGUACACAUUUUUUUACUCCUUUUCUUAUUGCUUACUUCCUGCUAUUUCUAAGCCAGGGAUUAACCAACUAUAGCCCUCAGGCCAAGUUUGACCCUCCACCUGCUUUUGUAAAUAAAGUGUGUUUGGAACACGGCCAUGCCCGUUCCCAUCCGUUACUGGAUUGACCAAGGAUGCUUUCACAUUACAAGGACAGAGUUGAGAAGCUGAGUAGCAACUGGCUGGCUCACAAAUCUAAAAAUAUUUAUUAUUUGAUCCCUUACAGAAAACAUUUGCUGACGCCUGUACUAAGCAGUAAAAGUCACUAAAUACUAUGUUUAACACGCUAGUUAUGUUUGUAUUUCCACUCUCAUUAAAAACGAUCUCAUAGCUAUUAAGAUUAUUUAAAUAUUUGCUCAAGGACCCCCUAAAGUGUUUUUGUGAUGGUCCUUGAACCACAUCUACUAACUCUGCACCUGGUCAAAAGUCCCCCAUGUGGGUUCCAUAUGUGGUGCAGAUCAGCACAUUUAUCCCCCCGAGGAGAUCCUUUUAGUGCAAUUCCUAAAUUUACGCAAGGGUAAAUUCAUGGGCUUUUUCCCCACAGAUGCCAUGCCUCUGCCAGGCAUCCUCUUGCUAACUUUGCCCACGAGUUGGCUGAGAGCUUGACAUGAACAUCUGCGUCAUGGAUGUCAUUAUAACAGGCGUCAAAAGUGCCACUGCUCUCCUGGCACACCUAGACUCUUGACAAGAUAGAUGAAACCUACAGCUCUCUGUAGCUGACUCCCAGAAUUCAGGGCUGCCAGCUUUGGCUCAUGUUAUGAAUAGCCGGUGGCUGUUCUGUUAGAUAUCCCUUUGUCAGGAAGAUUCUGCCUUCCAGAAUUUUCCCUAGAUUUACAUAUGGCAUUAUGAAAUCUCUUGUAGAGAAUGCAAAGGGAUUUGCAGACGUCUUUUUAUUUUUGUUUUUCAGUGACCUCCAAGUGAAGGGGAUCAGCUGGGCGUCUUCCAGUUGCAGGAAACAGAAAAUGCAUCCCCAAAUGGCUUAAGUAAUUUGACAGUUUGACUGGCUUGCAUGAGUCAAAAGUCUGGGGUAUAACCGACUUCGGGCAUUGCUAGUUCAAGGCCUCAAGUUAUAUCACAAAGGCUUGGUUCUUCCUGUAUGUUUCUGUGGUUCAUCUCAGCAAUGUUGGCUCCAUUCUGGGGCAGUCUCUUUCCUCAUGGUGACUAGAUGGCCGCCAGCAGCCCCUCCUUCAUGUCCUCCCAUGAGUAAGUCUAGAUUCAAGGAUCUGGCCUCCUUAGAAAUUCCAGUCACUGUCAUAUGGCAUCUGGUUGACUGUGCCGGUGUCAGCCCCAAUCAACCACUUUUGCCAGCUUGGUGAGAUGGUCUGAUACGUGAAGUCUAGGCCAUGCCAUCCCUGGAGAUGGGGGAGAGGGGAGCUAGUCAGCUCCUCCAGAAUUCUGUGGGCUCUGAGUGGGGAUCCUGAGACCAGGUCAGAAGCUGUUAUCAGAUUCAGAGUGAGUGGAUGACAGGGCAAAAUAGCAACAGUCAGCUUCCACAGAGAAGAAGCUAGCUCCAAUCCAAGGCUGAUUUUCCACAGCUUCUGCUUCAGGGUGUCUCAGCCUUGGUGCUGUUGACAUUUGAGGCCGGGUAACCCUUUCUUGUGAGUCUCAUUUGUGCAGUGUUAAAAUCUUUAGCAACAUCCUUGCCUCUACCUGCUGGAUAUCAAUGUGUUUCCAUUCCCCCCCCACCCCCACCUCAAAUAUGACAACUAGAAAUGUCCCCUGGGAGCAAAAAUUACCCCAGGUUGAGAACCACUGUGUGCUGGUCGCAGUGGGAGGGUGAUGAGCCAAGGGUGAUGACUUCAUCAUUCACCAGGGAAAGGUUUUGAAAAGGAGAAAGCAGUUCCUAGAAAGGGCUGUGAAAACUGACGCCCUUUUGGCGGAGCGUUCAAGGUCUUCCUCUCCUUGCGCCUUCUCCGAGCCAGCCUGGGAAAGUCCUUCAGGACCUCAGUGGUCCACCAAAACCUCUUCACAAAAGCAAAAUCAGGAGUGUGUUCUGCUUUAAGUAUCUUGGAGUCAGGAAGUUCCAGGUUUGAAUCCCAGUUUGGGCGCAUUCUUGGUCUGUGCCCUUUGGCAAGUUCCUUAACAUCUCAGAGUCUGUGGGGUUUUCUCCCCAACGUAAAACCAAGACAGUGUGGGAGCUAAUGGGAGAUUUCAAAAGCGAUGGGUGCUAACUAACCAGGAGGCAGGCCUGAGAAGGCCACUCAGAAGACCAGAGCUUUAGUUCUCGGUGUUGUCGCGAUUAUGCGGAUCAUCAACAUUAUCCAAGCCAGGUGUUCUUAACCUUGACCCUAUGAUGCUUGGGGCCGUGUGAUUCUCAGUUGUGGGGGCUGUCCUGUGCAGUGGAUGGCGGGUAGUGACAGUCCCA
Molecule: long non-coding RNA, 6256 nt
Filed under: Sus scrofa (pig)
Lineage: Eukaryota; Metazoa; Chordata; Mammalia; Artiodactyla; Suidae
Description: lncRNA (ENSSSCG00040008751.1)
Source: RNAcentral